GGGUCAUUUCAAAGAGGUCUUAUUAGGUUGUGAAACCAAGAGCUCGUGACACUGUGAAUCAAGAAGGAAGUUCUCCAGUGUUAAAAAU
RNAcentral lists this small nucleolar RNA (88 nucleotides) under Meriones unguiculatus (Mongolian gerbil). RNAcentral describes it as "Small nucleolar RNA SNORA25 (ENSMUGG00000004399.1)". Lineage: Eukaryota; Metazoa; Chordata; Mammalia; Rodentia; Muridae. The record is from RNAcentral.